CUACAGCUACAUCUUAAAGAUCUUAAAGUACUGCUAUGGCGAAAACUUAUAAUUGCAGGCAUGGCCUCAUUCAAAAAAAUCAGCCUCUUAAUAUUUCCCCCUCUUUCUUUCUUUUUCCCUCCUCUUCUCUUUUCCUAUAUUUGUCCUCCGACCUCACCUUCUCUCUCUCUGACCAGCCCUCUCUCCUCUCCUCUCUCUGCGAUUCACUCUGUCCUCUCUCCCCUCUCACCGAUCCGCCCUCCAAACGAAGCCGCCACCUCUACGACGCCGACGCCGACGCCGGUACCCACGACCCUAACUUGUCUCUCUCUUUCAUUCUGCCUCUUCCUUUCUGAUGAAGCGAUUCUCCCACUUCUUCCCUCGCCUCUCGCUUUUCCUCAACCCCGUCCCAGUAUAUAUUCCUCAAUCUCUUGAAGACGCUGCGCCUCAUCUCUCUACCUCAUAGUGUUGUCUUCUUAUUCAGCAUUUGGUAAAUCAACCCCUCAAUAUAAAUGGCUUAUUAAAGAGCUACCAAAAGUGGACAGAACAGAGACACCGUGGCUUAUUAUUCUGGUUCAUUGCCCACUAUACAAUAGUUAUGUGGAUCAUUUCAUGGAGGAGGAACCCAUGAGAGUGGUUUUUGAACCAUGUUUCGUGAAGUACAAAGUUGAUGUUGUUUUCUCAGGCCAUGUUCAUGCCUGUGAAAGAUCUGCAACGGAAAGAAAGGAUAUGUAAAUCAAGCAAAUAACAUGUACCUGUUUCCUGGAAUUGGUUUGGGAACACUUCUCUCAGGUGCUCAUUUGAUCUCAGAUGGCAUGUUACAGGCAGCUGCAGAAUGCCUUGCCUCUUAUAUGACAGACGAAUAUAUCCAAAAAGGCAUACUAUAUCCAUCUAUUAAACGCUGGGUAAAUUGCUUCCAUGGCCACUACUUCAAGCCUUUUCACUUCAACUGCUUUCUGUUGUUAUUGUGUUGUUGUAAACUUAUGGUAAAUUUUGUUAUUUUUCAAUAAAUUUUGUUAUUUCCUUGAACAAUUUUUGUUUUUCAUUUAUUGAAAUUUAUUCCAAUGGGCCAUUCUAUGACAUAAAUCACUACAAGAAUUUGGUAUUGAACAUCAGAAGAUCUCCUUUUCCUUUAUGCUAUUGAAGGUCCUAUAUGUCCAAUAAGUCCUAUAAGGUGAGUGCUUACUUAUUUAUUGAGAAUUAACAAGAAAUUUUGGGUUCAUGUAUUCAAAUAUUGAUUCUCUGUUUUUUUCCUCUUAAUUGUCCUGAUUUAUAGUAUUGUUGAGUUAUUAUAGUUUGGGCUACAAGGAUAUGAGCUUUUGCACACAAAUCAACUAGUAGAUUGACCCAUGAUAAAAGCUCACUUGCAAAAGAAACUUUUCUUUAUUUCUGUACAGGAAUUGGCUUAUGGGGUCAUUUAUUGUUGACCACGGAUUUGGCCAACGACGAGUACACGUCAAAACUACACUAAACUUUCAAGAGAAAAAACGACACUGAUGAUUUUUAUAGUGGUUCAGCCCCAAUGUGUUGGCACGAUUGAUUCUAGUCUAAAUCGUUGUUGGAACUUCGCUUGCAUAACAAUAUUCUGUUCAGUAAGUCGAUGUCACUUCUUGGAGAAAAACUGGUCAGCCAAAACACUUGACCGGUCGGCCAAACACCUCACUGGUCGGCUAAGCACUCCUUCGGUUGGUCAAGCAGCUCACUGGUCGGCCAAGCACUCCUUUAGUCGGUCACGCACCUCUCCGGUCGGCCAAACACCUCACUGGUCGGCCAAACACCUAUCUGGUUGGCCAAGCGCUCCUCCGGUCAGCCAAGCACCUGACUGGUCGGCCGGAGCAGGUAACUGAUCAGUCAAGUAUCUCUUGCCACUUGUCACUUUUAUUGUCACGUCACCAUUUUCAAAAUUUGAGGAUAAUAUUUGCCCCCCAAGUUUAUUAUAUGAUAUUCUCACAUAAUUAACUUUUUUCUCCACCGCUGACGGGAUAAAAAAAAAAACUAUACACACUCUCCCGCCUCUGCAACAAACCACGACGUCUUACUAGACCACAAUCACUGUAAUUAACUGCUCCCAAUCGCGGGGGAGAAAAUAUACCCAAGAGAAUUCAAAGAAUCUAAGAAUAAGUGACAAUUUCCACUUUUCCCUUUAAAUAGACCCAUAAGUGCUCAAUAUUCACAAGCAAAAAGAAAACCAAAAAGCUCCCAAACUCCAUCUCUUAUUGGCUGUAUCUCUCCAAAGCUCUCUCCCCUCUUAGCCGAAAAACUUCAAGAAUUUCAAGAAGGGCUCCAAUUUUCUUCAAGCAAAUCCAAGUGUUUCUCAAGAAAUCAACACAUUUGGGUAAGCUCUUCUUCCUCAUCUCUUUUUUUUUUUUCUCUUAAAGCCAACGAAACUUGUAGGCCGAAACCUCCAUUCAAAAUAUACCUAUGAAUUUGUGUUUGAAUUCUUGAUGAAUGAUGCAUAUUGUGGCUGUUUUGAUGUAGUUUAGGCUAUGGGUAAAUCAAUCUUGUCUCAAAUUUCAUGAAAAUUUGAAGAAAAACUAAUUUUUUACCCCAAAUUGCAUAUUUGGGUUUAUGGAUAUUUGAUGAGAAAUAGGGUCCCUAGAACUUCAUGAACCUUUCAAAUCCCAUAUUUUGAUAUUGUUGUAGUGUAUUUUGAGUGAUAGAAAUGUGUUUGUGUAUAUGCCCUUUGAGAUUCGAGUCUUCUCGAAAAUGGUCUAUUAGGGAGUGUGUUCAUGGCUGAUCGGCCAUUUUCCCACUUUUGAAUAUUCGGACCUGCCCCUAACCAAUUGGGCAUGCCUCUUCCUGCUCGGACACAAGCACAUUUGGCUCAACCUUGUGCCCCACCGAUUGGACACCACGGACUAACAUGACACAUCUCUAGCCUAACAUGGCACAUCUCUGGUCUAGCAUGACACUUCUCUGGUCUAACAUGACACAUCUCUGGUCUAACAUGGCACAUCUCUGGUCUAGCAUGACACUUCUCUGGUCUAGCAAAACACUUGACUGGUCAGUCAAAAAUCUUCACUGGUCGGACAGAAAUUCUAUCAGAUCGGUCAGAUCACUUUAUCACAACUCCGAAGAGCCAACACAUUUAUUGACUAUUAAUGUGCCAUUUACUGACCAUGCAUUGUCACUUCUGAUUGCCACGUCAUCGAACUGAAAUUUUGGGGAUAACACUUAUAUAAUUGAUGUUUCUCAAUUUAUUGAUUUGGACCACCCUCAUGCCCUCAAUUUUCUAUGUGAAGAUUGUGUUCGUGUUUCGGUAAAAGUUACCUGGACAACGUUAAUGUUGAUGAAUGUAUGUACCUCUAUUCAAUUAAAUCUUCAAAUUCUUAGCAUCAAAGCGUUAUAAAAUCUUGGGUGGCAUGCAGGAUAUUUCUUUUCAAAAAGCAUGGUGUGGCUGAUAUGACAAUCAGAGACCUAUUUGAUUUUAUAUUUGAUCCAUGUUGCAGAUGAUGGCGUGGAAAGUUAUCUUGAAGAGGUAUUCCCUUAUGUGCAGUCAAAUGUUAUUUUUAUUUUUGUAAGAAUCAUAGGAAAAAGUCCGACUGCUUUUGUUUUAUAUCAACUGCAACAAAGAAUCAUGUCAAAAAGGGAUAUAGUUGUAGAGGAAGAAAUUGUAGAUUCUGUAUUUGUGUAGGUAUCAUAUUCAAUAUAGAUAAAAAUAUAUCUAAGCA
Molecule: RNA transcript, 3650 nt
Organism: Humulus lupulus (European hop)
Lineage: Eukaryota; Viridiplantae; Streptophyta; Magnoliopsida; Rosales; Cannabaceae
Gene name: NAD-dependent malic enzyme 2, mitochondrial-like
Exons: 8
Source: RefSeq, a predicted model, not a curated record